GAUGAACGCUGGCGGCGUGCCUAAUACAUGCAAGUCGAGCGAACAGACGAGGAGCUUGCUCCUCUGACGUUAGCGGCGGACGGGUGAGUAACACGUGGAUAACCUACCUAUAAGACUGGGAUAACUUCGGGAAACCGGAGCUAAUACCGGAUAAUAUAUUGAACCGCAUGGUUCAAUAGUGAAAGACGGUUUUGCUGUCACUUAUAGAUGGAUCCGCGCCGCAUUAGCUAGUUGGUAAGGUAACGGCUUACCAAGGCAACGAUGCGUAGCCGACCUGAGAGGGGGAUGGGCCACACGGAACCUAGACACCGUUCCAGACCCUAACGGAGGGCAGCGGUGGGAAACCUUCCGAAAUGGGCGAAAGCCUGACGAGGCAACGCCGCGUAGGUAAUAAAGGUCUUCGGAUCGUAAAACUCUGUAAUAGGGAAGAACAAAUGUGUAAGUAACUAUGCACGUCUUGACGGUACCUAAUCAGAAAGCCACGGCUAACUACGUG
Molecule: ribosomal RNA, 496 nt
Filed under: uncultured bacterium
Lineage: Bacteria
Description: partial 16S ribosomal RNA
Rfam family: Bacterial small subunit ribosomal RNA
Source: RNAcentral